UUGGGGUAUGCGCGGUCUUUGGGUAAUCAAACCGCCGCAAAAUUUGGCCAAAACUUAUAUCUCCUUCUCGGUGCUUCCCGAGUUCCCUCACAGAGAGGCUCUCUCUCUCUCUCUCUCUCUCUCUCUCUCUCUCUCUUCCCCUCCCCCCGUCAAAACUCAAAAGCUUCGAGAAUUCUCAAGCCUCUCCAGAUACUAGCUCCUCCGCCUCCGCCAAAAUCAAGUCAAUCUUCAUCUCCGAGAUCAUACUCCCUCAGCUCUCCAACCUCUCAAUUGUCAAAUCCGCCUCCGCCAGUGUCCCAUCGGAGGCGGAGCUCCAGAAGUUCGGCCUCUCCGACGAUUCCAGAGACUUCGUCAAAUGCGAAUUUUUGACUCACUUCCGAAUUUUUGAUUCGAAUCUUCAAAUGCGAACCAUUUCGAUCGACUAGUCGACUCUCUCUAAUCCUUCCUGCUCUGCACUUCGCUCCUCGCAGCUCAGUUCGAGGUUUUAGGAAAGAUUUGACGGAGUGUCGGGAGCGACAUACAUGCCACUUUGGUUCUCACUACUGAUAAGGUCAUUACUGCUUUGAAGAAAUGAGCAUACUUGCUCAAGUACGGAAGAAGGGGAUAGUCCAAGUUCUGCCACUUCCGCCUUUCUAAUGUUACCUUGUGAAUUUCAAUGACUGAUGUUCCUCAAUGAAGUUGGUUAAGUUGUGAUGCUUUUGUGAAUCUCAUCACAACUGAGAUUCACGAGGUAUGAAGUUAGUGAUUGUUAAAGAGCCACAUAGAGUCAUGAAAUGAAGUUUAAGUUGGCUUAUUUCUGAAAGUUUGCAGUACUUUCUUGUAUAAAUUGACAGAUUUGAGAUACCCAUUUUCUUC
This is a long non-coding RNA of Rosa chinensis, 855 nucleotides long. RefSeq lists it as uncharacterized. The transcript is spliced from 4 exons. Lineage: Eukaryota; Viridiplantae; Streptophyta; Magnoliopsida; Rosales; Rosaceae. The record is from RefSeq and is a predicted model, not a curated record.